This 934-nucleotide long non-coding RNA is filed under the name Macaca nemestrina (pig-tailed macaque). Its description in RNAcentral is "lncRNA (ENSMNEG00000046010.1)". Lineage: Eukaryota; Metazoa; Chordata; Mammalia; Primates; Cercopithecidae. The record is from RNAcentral.
UAAAAACAGUCCAGCCUGAUCCUGAUUCUGCACACCCAAGUCACAAGUCCAGGCAGAAGACUUCCAAAUCAAGGGAUGGCCGCAGACUUCUCCAACAGAUAAGCUGCGCAGACACGGCUUCUGCUACUUAACGUCCUCUCGGUAGCUCUCCACUGUGAUUUGCAAGGCUCGUAUUAGCCUGUCAGAAGGGAAGGAUUAACACGUAUUUUGAUUUCUGUUGAAAACACGUUGUUUCAGAAAUAAAGUUGGCAUGGCAGGCAUCUUGGUUGAUUUAAUCUCUGACACAGGAAGUUUAUUUAUAGCAUCACAGCCUUCUGAAUGUUUAAAAACUCAAGCAUUAUAAGCCUGCUGUGCUUUUCCUGCGAAGUAUGGAACGGCACUAAAUGAAUAAUGCCACCAGGGCCAGCAGCAGAGCCAGGAUCCAGAAUCAAACACGGCUUUCAUCUGCUCCUGUCUUUAUUUUGUGCCUCAUGGAGUCUAGAUUUUUUUUCUCCAAACUGAAUAACUUCUUUCAAGAAAUGGCACCACCAUUCACCAAGUUGCUCAGACCAAAAAAGAAGGAGUCAACCUUAGUUCCUUGAACCCCAAAGCCUCAUCAAUGAAUCUAUCUGCAAGCAGAUCACAUCAGCCCCGCUAAAGCUGACUGUUUCUCACCACCCCUGGAGAUACUCCCUGAUGUGAUUUGGGUGUGCCCCCACCCACAUCUCAUCUUGAAUCGUAGCUCCCAUAAUCCCCACAUGUCGUGGGAGGGAUGGUAAUUGAAUCAUGGGGUUAGGUCUUUCCCCUGUUGUUCUCAUGAUAGUGAAUAAGUCUCAUGAGAUCUGAUGUUUUUAUAAAGGGCAGUUCCCCUGCACACGCUCUAUUCUCUGCCAUCAUGUAAGAUGUGCCUUUGCUCCUCUUUUGCCUUCUGCCAUGAUUGUGAGACCUCCCCAGC